RNAcentral lists this long non-coding RNA (1558 nucleotides) under Aquilegia coerulea. RNAcentral's name for it is "long non-coding RNA (ACOE_LNC001849)". Lineage: Eukaryota; Viridiplantae; Streptophyta; Magnoliopsida; Ranunculales; Ranunculaceae. The record is from RNAcentral.
GCACUGCAAGUGUAACCUAGAUAUAUAUCAACAAAAUGUACUGUGCUAUUUUGUUGGGCACUUGGACUAUCAUGAUUUUAAGGUAGUGUUUGUUUCAUUAAGCAUUAAGCAUUAAGUGCUUCUUAAGUGGUGGACCAGGUUAAAAUUCAGAAAUAAGUGUUUUUUAAGUUGUUUGUUUAGAACAAGCAUUAAGAACUAAUUGGGAUAUUUCAGCGAUUUUGGACCAGCGAAAAUCUCACGCUUAAUUUAACUUCUUAAUGCUUGUUGUAUUAUUUAGACAAUUCUACCCUUAUAAAAAUUGUUUUUAUCAUCCAUAACCAUUAAGUAAUAUCACAGUCAGAUUCAUUGGCUUAGUUAAUGGCCUUUCCUUUGUCUGAUCACUUUGAAAUUUUUAUCAUAAGUUCCUGAAGAUUUCUGUUAUAUCAUAUCUAAAAUUUAGAAUUUUUAGACGAUCGAUUUGAAAGUUACAGAUUUUUUUGUGGUUGUUAUGUUUUACAAGAAAAAUUACGUUACAGUCAGAUUCGUUUGCUUAAUAAGUGGACUUUCUUUUGUCUGGUCACUUUAAAGGUUUUACUAUAUGUUCCUGACGAUUUCUAUUGUAUCAUAUCCAAAAUUUGGAAUUUUUAAACGAGUCGUUUGAAAGUUACAGAUUUUUUUGUGAUUGUCAUGUUUUAGAAGAAAAAUUACAGUCAGAUUCGUUUGCUUAGUAAGGGAUCUUUCCUUUGUCUGUUCACUUUGAAAUAUUUUUCAUAUGUUCAUGACGAUUUCUGUUGUACCAUAUCCAAAAUUUAGAAUUUUUAGACGAGCCGUUUAAAAGGUUAAGAUUUUUUUUUUAAAUAUCAUGUUUUAGAAGAAAAAUUGGCGUGUAUAGUUUUGUUGUUAGAACAUUUUUCUGUUUGUACGACGUAACAAUAUAGUGUAGUUACACAAAUAUUUUGGCUAAGGGUGAAACAUUCUCAUCUGAAGCACAACACUGAAUGGUCAACUUGCGCAACCAGAGUGCAAAUCAACUUUAGGUUUUUGGGUUAUGUGAUAAGGUACUGUGUAUUGUCAAAAUACUUUUCCAAUAAUAGGGUAACAUGGUCAAAAUCACACUUAUGCAUAAACAAACAAAUCAAAAACAGAACUUCUUAAAAAUGAUAACCAAACAACGUACUUUUCCAGCAUUCAGUGUUCAACAUCCAGCAUUAAGUAUCCAGCAUUAAGUAUCCAGCAUUAAGCAUCCAGCAUUCAGUAUCCAGCAUUCAAUAUUUUAAACAAACACACCCUAAGAUUAACCUUAUUGAGCUAGGACUAACUUAGAGCAAAAAGAAAUUCUCAAUGGAAUCUAAAGUAAGACUGGUUAGGCGACUCCAAAGACGGAAUAAAAUUUGGUUUAUGAUCAAACCAUACUCUCUCUUACAAGGAGUUGUGCACUUCUCUUUGAAGCUUUAUCUGCUGGAAAGUUCCCUUCUCUCAAAGUGUGUGAAAAACUCAGCGACAGAAACCAAGAUUUAACUUUAAUAGAUUGUUAAUAUAACUCCCAAGACAUAGAGUCAUUCUCAAAAACAGUAGCUGC